AUGUUUAUUACAGUCAACAACGGAUGCAGUAAUGCUUAAGAUGAACAAACAACUUGUUACCACGAUGAUCUUGGUGUGUUUUAUUCUUGUUUGUCUAGGAAUUAUGUUUGUCGAUGGACAACUGGGAUGCGUAUGUAGGAGACGUUGUUCACCGUUGGAGACUAACGUUAUGGACUGUUUUUCCGGAGAUACCACUUUUAAGAUGUGUUGUCAUCCCUGGAAUUGAUGAUAAGAUCUUGGGAAAUGCCGCAACAGAAUAUCAUGGAUUACCAAAUGUGUAUACGAUCGGAUUGAAAUAGCAUCAUUAUAUACGUUAAUUAAUGAAGAAUUCUCUAAACGCGACGUUCCAUCAACAAACAAAUAUGAAAGUUAUUGACUUGUGGUGCUUGAAGUGACGAAAGUUGCAUUUAUUUAAAAACAAAACGGUCAAAAGAUCAAUUCAGUUUCGGUUAUAAUCAAUAAAAGCAAGUGGAAUCAACAACAAGAAGUAAAAACCCCCAAAACGACGAUGCCUUUAAUUCAAAUUCAAAUAGUAUAUGUAUUGACUCUUUUCAAGUGAUUCGAAAACACGCGAUGGAAUUAAUUUUGCAAAAUCGCGAUUACUUGUGUCAAAUCAACAUAAUAACAUUACAAAUAAAAUAUCGAAGGAAUACGGAA
Long non-coding RNA from Pecten maximus, 657 nucleotides. RefSeq lists it as uncharacterized. The record is from RefSeq and is a predicted model, not a curated record. The transcript has 3 exons. NCBI's taxonomy places the organism in Eukaryota, Metazoa, Mollusca, Bivalvia, Pectinida, Pectinidae.